ACUUUUGACGGUGGAUCUCUUGGCUCACGCAUCGAUGAAGAACGCAGCCAGCUGCGAUAAGUAGUGUGAAUUGCAGAAUUCAGUGAAUCAUCGAAUCUUUGAACGCAAAUGGCGCUCUUGGGUUCUCCCAGGAGCAUGUCUGUCUGAGAGUCGGAUAU
Molecule: ribosomal RNA, 158 nt
Filed under: Madracis formosa
Lineage: Eukaryota; Metazoa; Cnidaria; Anthozoa; Scleractinia; Pocilloporidae
Description: 5.8S ribosomal RNA
Rfam family: 5.8S ribosomal RNA
About the family: 5.8S ribosomal RNA (5.8S rRNA) is a component of the large subunit of the eukaryotic ribosome. It is transcribed by RNA polymerase I as part of the 45S precursor that also contains 18S and 28S rRNA.
Source: RNAcentral